This is a long non-coding RNA of Balaenoptera musculus (blue whale), 141 nucleotides long. RefSeq lists it as uncharacterized. The record is from RefSeq and is a predicted model, not a curated record. The transcript is spliced from 3 exons. Lineage: Eukaryota; Metazoa; Chordata; Mammalia; Artiodactyla; Balaenopteridae.
UGGAGUCAAAUUGUCAUUUUAUUUUCAUGUUGUUUAUAGAGGGGAAUAAAGUUAGUGCUGUGGAGUAGGUGAGCCAUAUGUAGAAAUACAGGUUGAGUAGUGCUGUGAUGGCUAUGAAUGUUGUAUAUGGAGUGGGAUAGG